CCGUGAAGUGCCUUACACAUGCAGUCGAUUCAAGUUACUUUCGGGUAAUGAGGAUGGCGGACGGGUGAGUAACGCGUAAGGAACUUGCCUCUUGGACUGGGACAACUGUUGGAAACGACAGCUAAUACCGGAUAUUAUGAGAUUCUCGCAUGAGAAACUUAUGAAAGCUAUAUGCGCCAAGAGAGAGCCUUGCGUUCCAUUAGCUAGUUGGUGGGGUAACGGCCCACCAAGGCGACGAUGGAUAGCCGGCCUGAGAGGGUGAACGGCCACAAGGGGACUGAGACACGGCCCUUACUCCUACGGGAGGCAGCAGUGGGGAAUAUUGGACAAUGGGCCACAAGCCUGAUCCAGCAAUUCUGUGUGCACGAUGAAGGUCUUCGGAUUGUAAAGUGCUUUCAGUUGGGAAGAAGAAAGUGACGGUACCAACAGAAGAAGCGACGGCUAAAUACGUGCCAGCAGCCGCGGUAAUACGUAUGUCGCAAGCGUUAUCCGGAUUUAUUGGGCGUAAAGCGCGUCUAGGCGGAAAAAUAAGUCUGAUGUUAAAAUGCGGGGCUCAACUCCGUAUUGCGUUGGAAACUGUUUUUCUAGAGUACUGGAGAGGUGGGCGGAACUACAAGUGUAGAGGUGAAAUUCGUAGAUAUUUGUAGGAAUGCCGAUGGAGAAGUCAGCUCACUGGACAGAUACUGACGCUGAAGCGCGAAAGCGUGGGGAGCAAACAGGAUUAGAUACCCUGGUAGUCCACGCCGUAAACGAUGAUCAUUAGGUGGUGGGGGGUCGAACCUCAGCGCCCAAGCUAACGCGAUAAGUGAUCCGCCUGGGGAGUACGCACGCAAGUGUGAAACUCAAAGGAAUUGACGGGGACCCGCACAAGCGGUGGAGCAUGUGGUUUAAUUCGACGCAACGCGAGAAACCUUACCAGCGUUUGACAUCCUAAGAAGUUUCCAGAGAUGGAUUCGUGCCGGCUUGCCGGAACUUAGUGACAGGUGGUGCAUGGCUGUCGUCAGCUCCUGUCCUGAGAUGUUGGGGUUAAGUCCCGCAACGAGCGCAACCCCUAUUGGAUGUUGCUACCAUUAAGUUGAGCACUCCUGCGAUACUGCCUGCGAUGAGCAGGAGGAAAGGUGGGGGAGGAAAUCCAAUCAUCAUGGCCCCUUAUACCCGGGGGGACACACCUGGUUCAAAGGGGGGUAACAAAAAGUUUCCCACUCCCCCAGAGGGAGCAAACUCCUUAAAACGGUUCUUAAUUUCGAAUUGAACCCCGCACUCCCGUAAG
This 1270-nucleotide ribosomal RNA is filed under the name uncultured bacterium. Its description in RNAcentral is "bacterial SSU rRNA". It matches the Rfam family "Bacterial small subunit ribosomal RNA", at positions 37 to 1325 of the family's 1533-position model. The record is from RNAcentral.